CAUACAUCCUUCUACCGGUCGGAUGGUGUGAGUUACUGGAAAUAAUUUUUGGUUGGGGAUGAGCUCGCGGCCUAUCAGCUUGUUGGUGAGGUAAUGGCUCACCAAGGCGUCCACGGGUAGCCGGCCUGAGAGGGUGACCGGCCACACUGGGACUGAGACACGGCCCAGACUCCUACGGGAGGCAGCAGUGGGGAAUAUUGCACAAUGGGCGGAAGCCUGAUGCAGCAACGCCGCGUGAGGGAUGACGGCCUUCGGGUUGUAAACCUCUUUUAGCAGGGAAGAAGCGAGAGUGACGGUACCUGCAGAAAAAGCGCCGGCUAACUACGUGCCAGCAGCCGCGGUAAUACGUAGGGCGCAAGCGUUAUCCGGAAUUAUUGGGCGUAAAGAGCUCGUAGGCGGUUUGUCGCGUCUGCUGUGAAAUCCCGAGGCUCAACCUCGGGCCUGCAGUGGGUACGGGCAGACUAGAGUGCGGUAGGGGAGAUUGGAAUUCCUGGUGUAGCGGUGGAAUGCGCAGAUAUCAGGAGGAACACCGAUGGCGAAGGCAGAUCUCUGGGCCGUAACUGACGCUGAGGAGCGAAAGGGUGGGGAGCAAACAGGCUUAGAUACCCUGGUAGUCCACCCCGUAAACGUUGGGAACUAGUUGUGGGGUCCAUUCCACGGAUUCCGUGACGCAGCUAACGCAUUAAGUUCCCCGCCUGGGGAGUACGGCCGCAAGGCUAAAACUCAAAGGAAUUGACGGGGACCCGCACAAGCGGCGGAGCAUGCGGAUUAAUUCGAUGCAACGCGAAGAACCUUACCAAGGCUUGACAUAUACGAGAACGGGCCAGAAAUGGUCAACUCUUUGGACACUCGUAAACAGGUGGUGCAUGGUUGUCGUCAGCUCGUGUCGUGAGAUGUUGGGUUAAGUCCCGCAACGAGCGCAACCCUCGUUCUAUGUUGCCAGCACGUAAUGGUGGGAACUCAUGGGAUACUGCCGGGGUCAACUCGGAGGAAGGUGGGGAUGACGUCAAAUCAUCAUGCCCCUUAUGUCUUGGGCUUCACGCAUGCUACAAUGGCCGGUACAAUGGGCAGCGAUACCGUGAGGUGGAGCGAAUCCCAAAAAGCCGGUCCCAGUUCGGAUUGAGGUCUGCAACUCGACCUCAUGAAGUCGGAGUCGCUAGUAAUCGCAGAUCAGCAACGCUGCGGUGAAUACGUUCCCGGGUCUUGUACACACCGCCCGUCAAGUCAUGAAAGUCGGUAACACCUGAAGCCGGUGGCCUAACCCUUGUGGAGGGAGCUGUCGAAGGUGGGAUCGGUAAUUAGGACUAAGUCGUAACAAGGUAGCCGUACCGGAAGGUGCGCU
RNAcentral lists this ribosomal RNA (1342 nucleotides) under Microbacterium sp. 13630I. Its description in RNAcentral is "bacterial SSU rRNA". It matches the Rfam family "Bacterial small subunit ribosomal RNA", at positions 170 to 1519 of the family's 1533-position model. Lineage: Bacteria; Bacillati; Actinomycetota; Actinomycetes; Micrococcales; Microbacteriaceae. The record is from RNAcentral.